UAGGGAAUCUUCGGCAAUGGACGAAAGUCUGACCGAGCAACGCCGCGUGAGUGAAGAAGGUUUUCGGAUCGUAAAACUCUGUUGGUAGAGAAGAACGUUGGUGAGAGUGGAAAGCUCAUCAAGUGACGGUAACUACCCAGAAAGGGACGGCUAACUACGUGCCAGCAGCCGCGGUAAUACGUAGGUCCCGAGCGUUGUCCGGAUUUAUUGGGCGUAAAGCGAGCGCAGGUGGUUUAUUAAGUCUGGUGUAAAAGGCAGUGGCUCAACCAUUGUAUGCAUUGGAAACUGGUAGACUUGAGUGCAGGAGAGGAGAGUGGAAUUCCAUGUGUAGCGGUGAAAUGCGUAGAUAUAUGGAGGAACACCGGUGGCGAAAAGCGGCUCUCUGGCCUGUAACUGACACUGAGGCUCGAAAGCGUGGGGAGCAAACAGGAUUAGAUACCCUGGUAGUCCACGCCGUAAACGAUGAGUGCUAGAUGUAGGGAGCUAUAAGUUCUCUGUAUCGCAGCUAACGCAAUAAGCACUCCGCCUGGGGGAGUACGACCGCA
Molecule: ribosomal RNA, 545 nt
Filed under: uncultured bacterium
Lineage: Bacteria
Description: partial 16S ribosomal RNA
Rfam family: Bacterial small subunit ribosomal RNA
Source: RNAcentral